This is a non-coding RNA of Bacillus sp. SA1-12, 99 nucleotides long. NCBI's taxonomy places the organism in Bacteria, Bacillati, Bacillota, Bacilli, Caryophanales, Bacillaceae. The record is from Rfam.
CUGAAGGAUUAUAUCGAAGAAUCAAAUGGUGGGGUAACGCCCUGAAGGGUUCUCUCUUAGUCGAAUAGCACUUGAAUUAGUAAGAAUAAUAGUGUUAUA